Molecule: ribosomal RNA, 255 nt
Filed under: uncultured bacterium
Lineage: Bacteria
Description: partial 16S ribosomal RNA
Rfam family: Bacterial small subunit ribosomal RNA
Source: RNAcentral
UACGUAGGGUGCAAGCGUUGUCCGGAAUCAUUGGGCGUAAAGCGCGCGUAGGUGGCUUCGUAAGUCCGUUGUGAAAGUCAAAGGCUCAACCUUUGAAAGCCGAUGGAUACUGUGGAGCUAGAGUACGGAAGAGGCGAGUGGAAUUCCUGGUGUAGCGGUGGAAUGCGCAGAUAGUCAGGAGGAACACCGAUGGCGAAGGCAGGUCUCUGGGCAUUAACUGACGCUGAGGAGCGAAAGCAUGGGGAGCGAACAGGA